AGGAGAGCUCCCAUUACAACACUGGGAUAGUUUAUUUCUUUGCACAGAGAUGCCACAGAGCUCACAGCAGGCUCACACCUAUACUCAACAUUUCCAGGCAAACUCAAGGGGACUACACUCGUCAUGCAUUGCAGCUGGCAAGGAAUGAAGAGCAUGCAGAAGUUUACAGAUGGCUACAAAGGAGAACUUAAUAGGCACAUCAAACAGACAGACACAAACAAGACAGACUUUUGAACACACAAACCAGAGCCGGCUCAGGAGCCCUAAAGCCACAGUAUUCAGGAGUAUGAAUUCCUUGGAGCAGAGGUGUUUAACGGACAAG
Oenanthe melanoleuca is the source of this 322-nucleotide long non-coding RNA. RefSeq lists it as uncharacterized. Lineage: Eukaryota; Metazoa; Chordata; Aves; Passeriformes; Muscicapidae. The transcript is spliced from 2 exons. The record is from RefSeq and is a predicted model, not a curated record.